RNAcentral lists this ribosomal RNA (552 nucleotides) under uncultured bacterium. RNAcentral's name for it is "bacterial SSU rRNA". It matches the Rfam family "Bacterial small subunit ribosomal RNA", at positions 355 to 897 of the family's 1533-position model. The record is from RNAcentral.
UGGGGAAUUUUCCGCAAUGGGCGAAAGCCUGACGGAGUGACGCCGCGUGGGGGACGAAGGCCUUCGGGUCGUAAACCCCUGUCAGAGGGAAAGAAGGGUCGGCGCGUGAAUAGCGCGUCGAUCUGACGGUACCUUCAGAGGAAGCCCCGGCCAACUCUGUGCCAGCAGCCGCGGUAAGACAGAGGGGGCAAGCGUUGCUCGGAAUUACUGGGCGUAAAGGGCGCGUAGGCGGGAUGGCAAGUCGGUCGUGAAAUCCCUGGGCUCAACUCAGGGGGGUCGGCCGAUACUGCCGUUCUUGAGGGAUGCGGAGGAGACUGGAAUUCCCGGUGUAGCGGUGAAAUGUGUAGAGAUCGGGAGGAACACCGGUGGCGAAGGCGGGUCUCUGGGCAUUCCCUGACGCUGAGGCGCGAAAGCGUGGGGAGCAAACGGGAUUAGAUACCCCGGUAGUCCACGCGGUAAACGAUGACGACUAGGUGUGGGGGGGUUAAGUCCCUUCCGUGCCGCAGCUAACGCAUUAAGUCGUCCGCCUGGGGAGUACGGCCGCAAGGUUGA